This 268-nucleotide ribosomal RNA is filed under the name uncultured bacterium. RNAcentral's name for it is "partial 16S ribosomal RNA". It matches the Rfam family "Bacterial small subunit ribosomal RNA", at positions 70 to 334 of the family's 1533-position model. The record is from RNAcentral.
CCCUUUGUAUUCGUACGAAGGUGUCCUAGUGGCGAACGGGUGAGUAACGCGUUGGUGACCUACCCCAAAGUCUGGGAUAACCCCGCGAAAGUGGGGCUAAUACCGGAUGUGGUCAUCGGAUUUAGAAACCGAUGUCUAAAGGAUUUAUUCGCUUUGGGAGGGGCCUGCGUCCCAUCAGCUAGUUGGUAGGGUAAUGGCCUACCAAGGCUACGACGGGUAGGGGACCUGAGAGGGUGACCCCCCACAAUGGAACUGAAACACGGUCCAU